CGCUAUACAAGCUUUUGUAUUGGUAACAGUAAUGUAAUAGGCAGACGUGGACAUUAAGGGUAUAGAUAAAUUCGGAGCAGCUCAAAGAUGUGCCCUUAGCAUUAAAAUGUUCAGAAAACCGAACUUUAGAACUAAGAAUUUCAAGACACUAUGGCCUAAAGCUCCCUUGGUUGUGAUUUGUCCAUUUUAAAAACUAUCCUAGAAUCAAUAAAAAA
This is a non-coding RNA of Pelobates cultripes (western spadefoot toad), 215 nucleotides long. The record is from the annotation of a GenBank genome assembly. Lineage: Eukaryota; Metazoa; Chordata; Amphibia; Anura; Pelobatidae.